RNAcentral lists this ribosomal RNA (569 nucleotides) under Trigonopterus sp. 203 AR-2020. RNAcentral describes it as "partial large subunit ribosomal RNA". It matches the Rfam family "Bacterial large subunit ribosomal RNA", at positions 1802 to 2644 of the family's 2925-position model. Lineage: Eukaryota; Metazoa; Arthropoda; Insecta; Coleoptera; Curculionidae. The record is from RNAcentral.
GUUAUUAAAAACAUGGCUUGUUGAUUUUAAUUUCAGGUUUGGCCUGCCCAGUGAUGUUUAAAUGGCUGCGGUAUACUAACCGUACAAAGGUAGCAUAAUCAUUAGUUUUUUAAUUGAGGGCUGGAAUGAAAGGUUAGAUGAGAGAACAACUGUCUCUGUAAAAAUUUAAUAGAAUUUUAUUUUUAAGUGAAAAAGCUUAAAUUUAGGUAGAAGACGAGAAGACCCUAUAGAGUUUAAUAAUUCAAAAUAUAAGAAAAUUACAGAAGAAGAAUAUUUUUUAUUUAGAGAAUUAUUUUAUUGGGGUGAUAAAAAAAUUUAAUUAACUUUUUUUAAAUAGAAACAUUAAUUUAUGAAGAUUUGAUCUUAAAGGUUUAGAUUAGAAGAAUAAAUUACCUUAGGGAUAACAGCGUAAUUUUUUUUAGAGUUCUUAUCGAAAAGAAAGAUUGCGACCUCGAUGUUGGAUUAAAAUUUAUUGUAGGUGAAGAAGCUUAUAAAUUAGGUCUGUUCGACCUUUAAAAUUUUACAUGAUCUGAGUUUAAACCGGUGUGAGCCAGGUCGGUUUCUAUCUA